This is a long non-coding RNA of Vicia villosa (hairy vetch), 1302 nucleotides long. RefSeq lists it as uncharacterized. Lineage: Eukaryota; Viridiplantae; Streptophyta; Magnoliopsida; Fabales; Fabaceae. The record is from RefSeq and is a predicted model, not a curated record. The transcript has 6 exons.
UUUAUUUUAUUUUUCCCUGUAGUUCAACUCUCUCACUUCCUCACCCUCAUUGAACUUCCCCCACCUUCACCCUCACCCUCAGAAUUUGUUACGCUCCGGCUCCGUCACCCUCAAUGUCCAAAUAUUGGAUUAGUAUUUCAACUCCAGUGUCACUUGUUAAAAUUCUGUUGCAAACCCAUGACCUUCAUCACGAUAACGCACAGAAACCGUUACACCGCCACAAGUCUAACACCAUGGGAAUUGGUAAACACAACCUCUAAAAUGCCUUUUCCCUCAUACAUCCUUUGUUCAGCGGGAUUUUCUGUAAAGGGAAAAGGAAGCAUGAGAUUGAGCUAUGAGAGACUGAAGAAUCUCAUUCUCACGAGUCCUCCACCAUGGUUUUCAUAUGAUUCUCGUAUCUAGGUUUACCGCACAAUCUUUCAUGCUCAUAUUCCUCUAUGGUUUUAACAAGGGUGGUGUUACUCUACAUGGAUGGCGGAGUUGUUUCCUUAUCUCUCGCCUUUCAGAAUUUGAACCAACUACUAUUUUCUGAGCGACUCACAACACUUAUAUGAGGUGAUUCUCUUGUGUUUUUGGAAACGCCAUGCUGAUUAAUUAGCUAAACAACGAUUUAUCUUCUUGUAUAGUUGUGUGUUUUCUUGUUGAAUGAGGUUUACCUUCUUAUAAAGUUCCACACUUUCCUGGUGGAUUAUAUUCCCUUGUAUUUGGAGAAAUGAAAACACAGAUUUAAGUGAGUAUUGUGAAGUUUUUGAGAGGAAAGUACGUGAAAGGUCACUGCUGAGAUGUUCUCCUGCCAAAUUUGAUUAAAAAGGUUUUAUUCACACCAAUGGAGAAAACAUUGGUAUAAGAUGACUUGGGUUUGCAUUUAUUGUUCUUCAUAAGUCUGAAAAAAAGAGAGCCAGUGAUUCCUGAAUGAUUUUUAGAAUGGAAAGAAACUAUAGAUUCACGGGGAUACUUCAUUGUAGCCAGACACGAAACUUCACAGUAGCAGCUGAAUGCACCAUGUAGUUUUCUAUUGGCUGCGAUUAGCAAACUACACCAUCAGUUAGUGUGCAUAAAUAUAUGUGCAUAAGUAUUGAUAUGGUUGUAUAUGUGCACCUUAAGAAGAGGAAAACAAUUAUUUGAUAAUAUUAUAUUUAGCCUAUUAUGUUUAUUCAUUCAAAAGCUUCUCUAUUUUAAAUAAACAUGUCAUAUAACUUUUUUUGUCACUACAUAGAAACUUUUGUACUGGUAGUAGUCAAUUAGUUUAAUGACAUGGAAUGUGAUAUUACAAAAUCUUAUUUGUAGAUGCAAUGCAAAUUA